UACGGAGGAUGCAAGCGUUAUCCGGAAUGAUUGGGCGUAAAGCGUCCGCAGGUGGCUAUGUAAGUCUGCUGUCAAAGCGUCUGGCUCAACCAGAUAAAGGCAGUGGAAACUACAUAGCUAGAGUAAGGUAGGGGUAGAGGGAAUUCCUGGUGUAGCGGUGAAAUGCGUAGAGAUCAGGAAGAACACCGGUGGCGAAAGCGGCAUCCUGGACCAACACUGACGCUGAGGAGCGAAAGCCAGGGGAGCAAACGGG
RNAcentral lists this ribosomal RNA (253 nucleotides) under uncultured bacterium. RNAcentral's name for it is "partial 16S ribosomal RNA". It matches the Rfam family "Bacterial small subunit ribosomal RNA", at positions 524 to 776 of the family's 1533-position model. The record is from RNAcentral.